UGACCCGAGGCACUGCGUUUCAGGAAGAAAGGUCUGUCUGGCAACUACCAAUUUGUAACUCGCUGAUACGAUCGGAAGGUUUCCAAGAAGGAAUCAGGUAGAGCGGCCUCCCAGCUGUCCACGUAUCCAUGUUCGCAAGAAAUUAAUCUCUCUUGACUGAGCCUCCAAGAAAAAUGGUUAAGUCAAAGGCGUGGCUUGUCACCCCGCCCCCCACCCCCCUGGUAGUCUUGCGGCUGCAUCCCCGCCAUAAAUCAAAGGCCGUGCUCCCCUUUCAUCAGGUGCCUGCAGAUAAUUCCCUAGCGAUUUCCCCGCUGGGGCUCAGAGGGCCAUGGCCUAAAGGGUUAACAUCUCAUUUCCUCUGUCUUUCAAGCCUUAAUCCCCAUCCUGAGCUGGGUGCAUUCCAAGCCCACCUGGAGCAGGUCACGACGAGCCCCAGCCCACGGCUGGCCCUUCAUUUCCCCUGGCAGGAGAUUAGAUGGGGCGCCCAUUAAUCACUCAUUACUUGGGUCCUCACUGCUGGCCAGCCCUCAGGCAGCCAGCCAGCUGGCUGGGCGGGUGGGGCGGGCCUGCCCGCUGCCCAGCCCAGGUCGCAGGCUGCCCGGUGUCACUAGACAAGACACCACAGCGUCAGCCCGCUCUCUGUCCUCGGGACCGCGCCCAGGAGGAGAGGGGCCCAGGGAGAGCACUGUGGGGCACCGCUUGAGUGAGCGGCUUCUGCCAGGCUCGUUGGAGGGACGUGCGCGGCACGUUCCGUGGAAAGAUGAGCACACAGUGCCUGCCAAGCCCUGACCGGGUACAGAGAAGGUUGGUGGGAGGAUUAAGGCACCAGGCGUAGCACACCCCAGUGCUCACGAACCGCGACCUGAGCAUGAGAGCAUCGGGCCAGCGAGGCUCCGGAAACCGGAGAAGUCAGUUCUGAAGGGCCCCGGAGAGAGAAGAGAGGGCAAAGAGGCCCAGAAAUGAUGCCCCCAGCGUCAGUCCACGGGUCCUGCAGGAGGAGGGGAGAGGGGUACCGAAAGAGGGCAAGAGGCCGCCCAGAGCUUCCCACUGACGUUCUGCCUCCCCAGCGCCAGCCUGUGGUAGGCGGUAGCUCCUGGCCUAACACUGCCAAUCCGUUAUUUUCACAGAGAAGAGUCCAUACGGACACGAGAAACCUUUGCAUCCACUCCUACGUACAUAAAUACCACAGUUCUGCACGCACAGAAAAAGAUAAAAGGUGGGAGAAGUAGAGACAAGAGGACAAAGAAGGCAAAGUGGGACUGGAACGUCCAACCCAGUUGCAUUUUCAAGUCACCCGGUGCUGGUCGCGGGCUGGCACUGUGCUACGCAGCCCGGAAAGGUAGAGGGAAGAGAAGCCUCAGGGUGCCUGGGACAGGCGGCUGGCCUGCUAGAUCGUGUCCAGGCUGAACACACGGUCUGUGCAAAGGCGGCAGGGGAGCGGGGCACCUGGGUGGCUCAGUCGGUUGAGCAUCCAACUUCGGCUCCUGAGUUCAAGCCCCAUAUCCGGCUAGCUGCUGUCAGCCUGGCAGCACAGAGC
Long non-coding RNA from Leopardus geoffroyi (Geoffroy's cat), 1537 nucleotides. RefSeq lists it as uncharacterized. NCBI's taxonomy places the organism in Eukaryota, Metazoa, Chordata, Mammalia, Carnivora, Felidae. The transcript has 3 exons. The record is from RefSeq and is a predicted model, not a curated record.